This 404-nucleotide ribosomal RNA is filed under the name uncultured bacterium. RNAcentral's name for it is "partial 16S ribosomal RNA". It matches the Rfam family "Bacterial small subunit ribosomal RNA", at positions 30 to 526 of the family's 1533-position model. The record is from RNAcentral.
AUUGAACGCUGGCGGCAGGCCUAACACAUGCAAGUCGAGCGAGCGGCGGACGGGUGAGUAAUGUCUGGGAAUUGCCCAGUCGAGGGGGAUAACAGUUGGAAACGACUGCUAAUCCCGCAUACGAUUGGAAUGCCCAUGUGGGUUUAGCUAGUUUGGGGGGUAAUGGCUCACCAAGGCGACGCUCCCUAUCUGGUCUGAGAGGAUGAGCAGCCACACUGGAACUGAGACACGGUCCAGACUCCGACGGGAGGCAGCAGUGGGGAAUAGUGCACAAUGGGUGAAACCCUGAUGCAGCCAGGCCGCGUGUGUGAAGAAGGCCUUCGGGUUGUAAAGCACUUUCAGCGGGGAGGCGUUACUCGCAGAAGAAGCACCGGCUAACUCCGUGCCAGCAGCCGCGGUAAUUC